RNAcentral lists this transfer RNA (80 nucleotides) under Notoacmeibacter sp. RNAcentral's name for it is "tRNA-OTHER". It matches the Rfam family "tRNA". From Rfam's summary of the family: Transfer RNA (tRNA) molecules are approximately 80 nucleotides in length. Lineage: Bacteria; Pseudomonadati; Pseudomonadota; Alphaproteobacteria; Hyphomicrobiales; Notoacmeibacteraceae. The record is from RNAcentral.
GCGGGCAUGGUGAAAUUGGUAGACAGAUUUAGGUUCUGGUGCCGUGAGGUGUGGGGGUUCAAGUCCCUCUGCCCGCACCA